RNAcentral lists this ribosomal RNA (490 nucleotides) under uncultured bacterium. RNAcentral's name for it is "partial 16S ribosomal RNA". It matches the Rfam family "Bacterial small subunit ribosomal RNA", at positions 28 to 507 of the family's 1533-position model. The record is from RNAcentral.
GAUGAACGCUAGCUACAGGCUUAACACAUGCAAGUCGCGGGGCAGCAUGGGGGUUGCUUGCAAUCCCCGAUGGCGACCGGCGCACGGGUGAGUAACGCGUAUCCAACCUGCCCUUCACCACGGGAUAACCCGGCGAAAGUCGGACUAAUACCGUAUGUUGUCCAUUGACGGCAUCCGAUUUGGACGAAAGGUUUGGCGGUGAAGGCUGGGGAUGCGUCCGAUUAGCUGGACGGCGGGGUGACGGCCCACCGUGGCGACGAUCGGUAGGGGUUCUGAGAGGAAGGUCCCGCACACGGGAACUGAGACACGGUCCAGACGCCUACGGGAGGCAGCAGUGAGGAAUAGUGGUCAGUGGGCGUAAGCCUGAACCAGCCAAGUAGCGUGCAGGAUGACGGCCCUAUGGGUGGUAAACUGCUUUUAUGCGGGGAUAAAGUGGCCCACGUGUGGGUUUUUGCAGGUACCGCAUGAAUGAGGACCGGCUAAUUCCGUG